AUAAGAAUGGAGUAUUGAAAGUAAGGUAUUGAAAGGGAAGGAUAUCGACAAAAAUAGAGUAUUGAAGGUAGUGUAUUGACAGUAAGGUAUUGAAAGGAAAGGAUAUCAACAAAAACAGGGUAUUGAAGGCAGGGUAUUGAGAAGGAAGGAUAUCGACGGGGACAUUGUAUGGACGGAUAAGGUAUUGAUGAAGACAGAGUAUCAGGGAGAGAUUGUAUCUAGGCAGCAAGGUAUCAAUGAAGGCAAAGUAUCUAAAGGCAGAAUAUCAAAACCAAAGAUACUAAAGGGGGGAAAU
RNAcentral lists this long non-coding RNA (295 nucleotides) under Physcomitrium patens. Its description in RNAcentral is "long non-coding RNA (PPAT_LNC006735)". The record is from RNAcentral. Lineage: Eukaryota; Viridiplantae; Streptophyta; Bryopsida; Funariales; Funariaceae.